This 253-nucleotide ribosomal RNA is filed under the name uncultured bacterium. RNAcentral's name for it is "partial 16S ribosomal RNA". It matches the Rfam family "Bacterial small subunit ribosomal RNA", at positions 524 to 776 of the family's 1533-position model. The record is from RNAcentral.
UACGAAGGGGGCUAGCGUUGUUCGGAAUCACUGGGCGUAGAGGGCGCGUAGGCGGCUUUAUAAGUCGGGGGUGAAAGCCUGUGGCUCAACCACAGAAUUGCCUUCGAUACUGUAGAGCUUGAGACCGGAAGAGGUAAGUGGAACUGCGAGUGUAGAGGUGAAAUUCGUAGAUAUUCGCAAGAACACCAGUGGCGAAGGCGGCUUACUGGUCCGGUUCUGACGCUGAGGCGCGAAAGCGUGGGGAGCAAACAGG